This is a long non-coding RNA of Callithrix jacchus (white-tufted-ear marmoset), 1632 nucleotides long. RefSeq lists it as uncharacterized. Lineage: Eukaryota; Metazoa; Chordata; Mammalia; Primates; Cebidae. The record is from RefSeq and is a predicted model, not a curated record.
UGGAAUUAUGGAACAUAUAGCCUUUUGACAUUGGCUCCUUUCACAGAGCAUAAUGUCCUUGGAAUCCAUCUAAAUCAUUGUAUAUAUCAAUAACCCACUUACUUUUAACUGGUGAGUGUCAUCUCAUUUGGAUAUAACGCAAUUAACUACUUCAUUUACUUGUCAAAGGACACAUGCAAUUACAUACCACUCUUGAUGGUCAGGGACUGAGAAAGAAUAUGAUUGAAAAAUUGGUGACAAGGAAAUCCGGAGAAGAGGUUUGUAGAUGGACCUCUCUGAGUGAGCAAAUAAUGUGAAGAUAUUUACAUCCUAUGUCAUGCUCACCAAAGUAUGACCUCAGCACAGGAAGAUUUUAAUACUCAAAUUGAUAGGAUAGGAUAACCUGUUCUGUGGAUGCCAGUCAACUUCUUUUUUCGACCACCCCUGUCUUUGCCCAAUGGACUCCUGAGCAAAGUGGCCAUGGUGGCAGGGAUAGAAAUCAUGGGAUGUGCUCAGAAACAUGGAUUUUUACUCACCAAGGCUGACCUGGCUAUGGCCACUACUGAGUGCCCAAUCUGUCAGCAGCAGAGACCAACACUCAGCCCUUAAUAUGGCACCAUUCUUUGGGGUGAUCAGCUAGCUACCUGGUGGCAGAUUGAUUACUUUGGACCAUUGCCAUCAUGGAAGGGGCAAGGUUUUGUUCUUACUAGAAUAGACACUUACUCUGGAUGUGGAUUUGCCUUCUGUGCCCAAAAUGCUUCUGCCAAAACUACCAUUUGUGGACUUAGAGAAUGCCUUAUCCACCACCAUGGCAUUGCACAUAGCAUUAUUUGUGAUCAACGAAAUUACUUCAUGCAAAUAAAGUGUAGCAAUGGGCCCGUGCUCAUGAAAUUUGCGUUCCUCACCAUCCUAAAUCAGCUGGUUUGACAGAAUAGUGGAAUGGCCUUUUGAAGACUGUUACAGUGCCCACUAAGAAGGAAAACUAUACAAGGUGGGGAAAGGUUCCCUAAAAGGCUGUAUACACUUGGGAAUCAGUGUCUAAUAUAUGGUGCCAUUUCUCCCAUAGCCAGGAUCCAUAGAUCUAGAAAUCAGGGGGUGGAAUUGGUAGUGGCACCACUCAUUAUCCCUAGUGACCUACUAGCAAAAUGUUUGCUUCCUGUUCUUGUGACCUUAUGCUUUCCUAUCCUAGAGGUCUUAGUUCCAAAGAGAGAUGCUUCCACCAGGAGACACAACAGUGAUUUCAUUGAACUGGAAAUUAAGACUGCUGCCUGGCUGCUUUGGCCUCCUCAUGCUUCCAAAGCAACAGACAAAGAAGGGAGUCCACAUUUCUGGCUGGGGUGUUUGAUCCGGACUACCAAGGGGAAAUUGAACUACUACUCUACGAUAGAGAAUCAGAGAGCUGGUACCAUUUCAGUAGGUCCUUGGGCUGCCUGAAAAUUAUGACGCUGGAGCAUCAUUUACUCAAAAUGCUCAUCCAAAAACAGGACAUCAAAACUAGUCACUCUUCGCCUUAUGGAAACGAAUACCCCAAGGACGACAAGCAUCUGUCCGGGACCCAGCUCGAGGUGGGCAAAGAGACCUUAGAAACACAAACAGCAAGGUUUUAAUUCCAGCUGCAUCUCUUAUCAAACGGUAAGCAUGGGAAAAAUUACU